CCAAAGCCGGCCCCUGGCGGGUGAGAUCCGAGCGGGGCCGGGAGCCGGAGCCGAGCCGAGCCGAGCCGGAGCCGCGAGAGGCCGGCCAGGCGCGGGCACGGGCGACCCAGCUUCCUCUAGCCUUGACAGCUAGUCCAAGUGGAUUUGAUUAAGCUGAGAGAGUUUCAGGAGCACCCACUCUUCUUGCCAUCCUGUCUUCUCAGGUGAACCCUGAACUUGCAUCUUCAGCAUUAAAAGCACUGCUCACUUCGAUCCAGAUUACUGUGAUCCCUUUUCUUGUAUGAGUUUCAG
Molecule: long non-coding RNA, 291 nt
Organism: Suncus etruscus (white-toothed pygmy shrew)
Lineage: Eukaryota; Metazoa; Chordata; Mammalia; Eulipotyphla; Soricidae
Exons: 3
Source: RefSeq, a predicted model, not a curated record